Molecule: transfer RNA, 110 nt
Filed under: Pelodiscus sinensis (Chinese soft-shelled turtle)
Lineage: Eukaryota; Metazoa; Chordata; Testudines; Trionychidae
Rfam family: tRNA
About the family: Transfer RNA (tRNA) molecules are approximately 80 nucleotides in length.
Source: Rfam by way of RNAcentral
GUCAGGAUGGCUGAGUGGGCUCAGGUCCCUGACUUAAGAGUAUUGUUUUUUCCUCACUGGGGUGUUCUGGUCUCCAAAUGGAGAUGUGGGUUCAAAUCCCACUCCUGACA